GCGAAGGUGGCGGAAUUGGUAGACGCGCUAGGUUCAGGUCUUAGUGCCGCAAGGUGUGUGGGUUCGAGUCCCAUCCUUCGCACCA
This 85-nucleotide transfer RNA is filed under the name Candidatus Avisuccinivibrio pullicola. RNAcentral describes it as "tRNA-Leu". It matches the Rfam family "tRNA". From Rfam's summary of the family: Transfer RNA (tRNA) molecules are approximately 80 nucleotides in length. Lineage: Bacteria; Pseudomonadati; Pseudomonadota; Gammaproteobacteria; Aeromonadales; Succinivibrionaceae. The record is from RNAcentral.